AUACGGAGGGUGCAAGCGUUAAUCGGAAUUACUGGGCGUAAAUCGUACGUAGGCGGUUGGUUAAGUUAGAUGUGAAAGCCCCGGGCUUAACCUGGGAACUGCAUUUAAAACUGGCGAACUAGAGUUGAGUAGAGGGGAGUGGAAUUUCAGGUGUAGCGGUGAAAUGCGUAGAGAUCUGAAGGAACACCAGUGGCGAAGGCGACUCCCUGGACUCGAACUGACGCUGAGGUACGAAAGCGUGGGUAGCAAACGGGAUUAGAAACCCCAGUAGUCC
RNAcentral lists this ribosomal RNA (274 nucleotides) under uncultured bacterium. Its description in RNAcentral is "partial 16S ribosomal RNA". It matches the Rfam family "Bacterial small subunit ribosomal RNA", at positions 523 to 796 of the family's 1533-position model. The record is from RNAcentral.